RNAcentral lists this ribosomal RNA (515 nucleotides) under uncultured bacterium. Its description in RNAcentral is "partial 16S ribosomal RNA". It matches the Rfam family "Bacterial small subunit ribosomal RNA", at positions 28 to 523 of the family's 1533-position model. The record is from RNAcentral.
GAUGAACGCUGGCGGCGUGCCUAAUACAUGCAAGUCGAGCGAAUGGAUUAAGAGCUUGCUCUUAUGAAGUUAGCGGCGGACGGGUGAGUAACACGUGGGUAACCUGCCCAUAAGACUGGGAUAACUCCGGGAAACCGGGGCUAAUACCGGAUAACAUUUUGAACCGCAUGGUUCGAAAUUGAAAGGCGGCUUCGGCUGUCACUUAUGGAUGGACCCGCGUCGCAUUAGCUAGUUGGUGAGGUAACGGCUCACCAAGGCAACGAUGCGUAGCCGAACUGGGAGGGGUAUCGGCCACACUGGGACUGAGACACGGCCCAGACUCCUACGGGAGGCAGCAGUAGGGAAUCUUCCGCAAUGGACGAAAGUCUGACGGAGCAACGCCGCGUGAGUGAUGAAGGCUUUCGGGUCGUAAAACUCUGUUGUUAGGGAAGAACAAGUGCUAGUUGAAUAAGCUGGCACCUUGACGGUACCUAACCAGAAGGCCACGGCUAACUACGUGCCAGCCGCCGCCGUAA